AAGUCGUAACAAGGUUUCCGUAGGUGAACCUGCGGAAGGAUCAAUACAGAGAGGGUGUGGGAGAUACGUUGAAAUACUAGAAAGAAACAAUUGACAACAUUAUACACACACACACAUUUUACAACUCAUAACAAUGGAUCUCUGGGCUCUU
This 151-nucleotide unclassified non-coding RNA is filed under the name fungal sp. RNAcentral's name for it is "partial internal transcribed spacer region". The stretch from base 1 to 46 matches the Rfam family "Eukaryotic small subunit ribosomal RNA", at positions 1786 to 1831 of the family's 1831-position model. Lineage: Eukaryota; Fungi. The record is from RNAcentral.